UAUAUAUAUAUAUAUAUAUAUAUAUAUAUAUAUAUAUAUAUAUAUAUAUAUAUAUAUAUAUAUAGGCUAUUGAUUUUAUUUCAGUUAAAAUUUAUUUUAAGGUAACAAAAGAUUUAGCGAGUGAUUUGUUACACUGAUUUAAACGAUGACUUUUACUGAUUCAUUCAAAGAGCCAAUGGAAGAAUUGUAUUUUCAAUUGUGUUUUCCAUAUGUGGACGCAUAACUUGACAUAAUCCAAACGCAAUUGCAAAUUUUGCAUUACUUUUUGCGUUGAUACUUUCACGAACGCACAGUGACUGACAAAUUUCAAAUGAAAAAGCAGUCCAUUUGCAACUGUAUUUCCCAUGUCUUACGAGUUAUGUGCCUGUCAUAUUUAAAUAACAAUAUUAAUCACCAUACCUGCUUUUUCACUCUCUGUGUUGCGCCUGUAACCAGACAAAACUCAAAUGAAAUCGCAAAUCUUUUUGGCAUUUGAAUUUCCAAUAUCAACCCGUGCUGAAGGAGAUAUAUAUAUGACUAGGGCUGUCCCCGACUAAAGUCUUUUCUGGUUGACUAGUAGUCGUUCAUUUGAAGCAUUAGUCGACUAAUUGCACGUUUAUUAAUAAACGAUUUCAAUUAUAAUAAUGAGCCUUUAAUUGCCUACAUAGCCUAUAAGCUCUCAAGCACACGCAUAAGCUUGCCACAGCACAGCGACAGAAGAAUUAAUGAUUAUGAAUGUGUCAGGGAAAAACAGUAACAGAUGCUGCAUUAACAUUUUAAGAAUUUAUUGCUAAACUAGUGCUUUCUUUGUUCUCUGUUUAAGAGAUGACUCCUCUGUCUGCAAUUUUAAUAUGGCUUACAUAAUCUGAGAAUAUUUCUUUUUCAUUUGAAUUGGCUUAUUUGAAUUGACAUUUCGCUCUCUAUAGAUAUAUUUUUUUUCAUGUCUGUCAGACAAAGCGCUCAAGUUCACAGAGACUGAGACGCCAGAAAGCGCAUCCUGCUUGCUUUCAUUGUUUUACUAAAGUGCAAUGUUUUGUCGUUAUUGUGAGUGCACAAAAAUAAUCGUAGAGUCUUUACAGAUUUGAAAGAUGUAUUACGCUUAUCUGUAUGAGCAAAAAUAACAGAGUAUUUUAAAAGCAAUUGCGCACCGGCGCCUCCAUCUGUCCUGCAGUAAGUUGAAUGAUAGACAAGCGUUUGGAUGUCCUGCCCAGUAGCCUACUGUAUUACCACAGACCAGCCGUUAACAAUCCGUGUGACUUUUUGGAUUUUUAAUUAUUUAUUUAUUUUCUGUGAUUUAAGCAACUAAUAAAAUUUUGGUCGACCAAGCCUCUUCUGAUUGACUAAUGGUUAGUCGACUAUUAGGGGGCAGCCCUUUAUAUAAUACAAUUUGCAAUUCCUUUUAAAAAAAUACUGAAUAUCUGAAAGUCCUGAAUAUUCUUCUAUAGAACUGGCUCACAUGAGUCAUUUGGUCCCAAAUUGGACUUCGUUGGCUAUGCUAUAUGUUUGUCAUUGCAUGCAGUCAGCAACGAUCCAGGCAAUUCAGACCGAUAACUUUUGAGUUUGCUUUUGACUGAUUCAUUCAAAGAACCAGUUAACAUGAAUCCUUUUUUCCUAAAUUGGACUACAUUGGACGUGUUGUAUGUUUUUUUUGCUGCAUGCAGAGACAACACUAUAGAAUUUGAGUGACCUAAUAUUGCUAAACUUACUGAAAUGUAGCUUGAAAGCACUUUUGAACCAAUUUAUUAAAAUAAGUAGAAUAAAAACACUGUAGUAGUCAUAAUUUUAGCAGUGUCAGACCCACCCAGACACUGUAAUUUGCAUCAUGAGGGUUUGAAUUUUACCAUCUUAAUUCUCAUCCACGAGUGUGUAAUUUACACCUGGCAUUUUCUGUCUGACCACACUAGAGAUGCAUUGGAAUGAUGGUAUAUAUGCAAUCCAGCUAAAAAAAAAGCUAAAAAACAAAAAAAAAAUCCAGAAAUGAAAUGCAGGUGUAAAGAGGCCUUAUUUGUUAUUUCUGCAUCACAUGAUUCCAGCUGUCUUCUGCGUGUCAGGAUGAGCAGAGGCCAUCUCAGGUGCAGAGACCUGCUUUAGUUUUCAGUUUUGGUGUCCUGACGUGAGCACAUGAUGUUUAGGUUUCUCAGCGUGGUUUUCAGUGUGUGUUCAUGUGUAAAGUAUGUCUGGGCUCUUUAAUUUGUAUAUCAAAGGUGUUUGCUGGCAGCGUGUUUGUGUAAAUGCAGUGAAGUGUUGUGCAGUGUGUUUUUCUCUCAGCUAACAGCUGGUUCAAGAUGGGUCUACACUGCAGGUGGCGACGUGACGCUCCAGUUUUGAUGCGUCAUACCAAGACCGUUUCGAUGCAGUAUAGAUGCUGCUGUCAGUCAUUGCACCGAUCAGAUUUGAGCCUGUCCAUCGACCAAUCAUAACCCACUGUGGGCGUAUGAUUCACAUGCCUACCUGGAUGUUACGCCAUCAGUGUGAGACCCCAG
This is a long non-coding RNA of Cyprinus carpio carpio, 2462 nucleotides long. NCBI's taxonomy places the organism in Eukaryota, Metazoa, Chordata, Actinopteri, Cypriniformes, Cyprinidae. The record is from Ensembl.